CCUACGGGUGGCUGCAGUGAGGAAUAUUGGUCAAUGGACGCAAGCCUGAACCAGCCAUGCCGCGUGCGGGAAGACGGCUCUAUGAGUUGUAAACUGCUUUUGUACGGGGGUAAUCCCGGAUACGCGUAUCUGUCUGAAUAUCUCGUACAAAUUACGCUCGGCUAACUACGGGCCCACCGCCGCGGUAAUACGGAGGGUUCAAGCGUUAUCCGGAUUUUUUGGGUUUAAAGGGUGCGUAGGCGGUCGGGUAAGUUAGAUGUGAAAUCCCGAGGCUCAACUUCGGCACUGCCUGUGAUACUGUGCGGCUAGAGAGUAGGAGCGGUAGGCGGAAUGCAUGGUGUAGCGGUGAAAUGCGUAGAGAUCAGACAGAACACCGAUUGCGAAGGCAGCUUACCGAGCUACUACUGACGUUGAGGCACGAAAGCGUGGGGAGCAAACAGGAUUAGAUACCCGGGUAGUC
Molecule: ribosomal RNA, 460 nt
Filed under: uncultured bacterium
Lineage: Bacteria
Description: partial 16S ribosomal RNA
Rfam family: Bacterial small subunit ribosomal RNA
Source: RNAcentral